Molecule: non-coding RNA, 21 nt
Filed under: Caenorhabditis elegans
Lineage: Eukaryota; Metazoa; Nematoda; Chromadorea; Rhabditida; Rhabditidae
Source: RNAcentral
UAACUCUGUCCUUCAUUUUAA